Molecule: ribosomal RNA, 440 nt
Filed under: uncultured bacterium
Lineage: Bacteria
Description: partial 16S ribosomal RNA
Rfam family: Bacterial small subunit ribosomal RNA
Source: RNAcentral
CCUACGGGAGGCUGCAGUAGGGAAUAUUGCUCAAUGGGGGAAACCCUGAAGCAGCAACGCCGCGUGGAGGAUGAAGGUUUUCGGAUUGUAAACUCCUUUUGUUAGAGAAGAUAAUGACGGUAUCUAACGAAUAAGCACCGGCUAACUCCGUGCCAGCAGCCGCGGUAAUACGGAGGGUGCAAGCGUUACUCGGAAUCAAUGGGCGUAAAGAGCGCGUAGGCGGGAUAGCAAGUCAGAUGUGAAAUCCUAUGGCUUAACCAUAGAACUGCAUUUGAAACUGUUAUUCUAGAGUAUGGGAGAGGUAGGUGGAAUUCUUGGUGUAGGGGUAAAAUCCGUAGAGAUCAAGAGGAAUACUCAUGGCGAAGGCGACCUACUAGAACAUAACUGACGCUGAUGCGCGAAAGCGUGGGGAGCAAACAGGAUUAGAUACCCGAGUAGUC